RNAcentral lists this ribosomal RNA (520 nucleotides) under bacterium enrichment culture clone Cont190_3130. Its description in RNAcentral is "bacterial SSU rRNA". It matches the Rfam family "Bacterial small subunit ribosomal RNA", at positions 8 to 525 of the family's 1533-position model. The record is from RNAcentral.
AGAGUUUGAUCCUAGCUCAGAAUGAACGCUGGCGGCGUGCUCAACACAUGCAAGUCGAACGCGAAAAGGGGACUUCGGUCCCGAGUAGAGUGGCGCACGGGUGAGUAACGCGUAAGUAAUCUACCACUGUAUCUGGAAUAACCCACCGAAAGGUGAGCUAAUACCGGAUACGUUUAUCUUGAUGCGAAUGAUGAUAAAGAAAGGUGGCCUCUUCAUGAAAGCUACUGUACAGGGACGAGCUUGCGUACCAUUAGCUAGUUGGUAGGGUAAUGGCCUACCAAGGCGAAGACGGGUAGCCGGUCUGAGAGGGCGAUCGGCCACACUGGAACUGAGAUACGGUCCAGACUCCUACGGGAGGCAGCAGCGGGGAAUAUUGGGCAAUGGGGGAAACCCUGACCCAGCGACGCCGCGUGAGGGAUGAAGGUUUUCGGAUCGUAAACCUCUGUUUGUACGGGGAAGAAGAAGUGACGGUACCGUACGAGGAAGCCCGGCAAACUACGUGCCAGCAGCCGCGGUAAUA